AUGCUUGUCUCAAAGAUUAAGCCAUGCAUGUCUAAGUAUAAGCAACUAUACUGUGAAACUGCGAAUGGCUCAUUAAAUCAGUUAUCGUUUAUUUGAUAGUACCUUUACCUGGAUAACCGUGGUAAUUCUAGAGCUAAUACAUGCUAAAAACCUCGACUUCGGAAGGGGUGUAUUUAUUAGAUAAAAAACCAAUGCCCUUCGGGGCUCCUUGGUGAAUCAUAAUAACUUAACGAAUCGCAUGGCCUUGCGCCGGCGAUGGUUCAUUCAAAUUUCUGCCCUAUCAACUUUCGAUGGUAAGAUAGAGGCUUACCAUGGUCUUAACGGGUAACGGGGAAUUAGGGUUCUAUUCCGGAGAGGGAGCCUGAGAAACGGCUACCACAUCCAAGGAAGGCAGCAGGCGCGCAAAUUACCCAAUCCCGACACGGGGAGGUAGUGACAAUAAAUACUGAUACGGGGCUCUUUUGGGUCUCGUAAUUGGAAUGAGUACAAUCUAAAUCCCUUAACGAGGAACAAUUGGAGGGCAAGUCUGGUGCCAGCAGCCGCGGUAAUUCCAGCUCCAAUAGCGUAUAUUAAAGUUGUUGCCGUUAAAAAGCUCGUAGUUGAACCUUGGGCCUGGCUGACCUGUCCUCCUAAUCGAGCGCACGGGUUCGGUCGGGCCUUUCCUUCUAGGGAACCCCAUGCCCUUCACUGGGUGUGGUGGGGAACUAG
RNAcentral lists this ribosomal RNA (708 nucleotides) under Chaetothyriales sp. Its description in RNAcentral is "SSU rRNA". It matches the Rfam family "Eukaryotic small subunit ribosomal RNA", at positions 28 to 742 of the family's 1831-position model. The record is from RNAcentral. Lineage: Eukaryota; Fungi; Ascomycota; Eurotiomycetes; Chaetothyriales.